Molecule: ribosomal RNA, 518 nt
Filed under: uncultured bacterium
Lineage: Bacteria
Description: partial 16S ribosomal RNA
Rfam family: Bacterial small subunit ribosomal RNA
Source: RNAcentral
AGCGAACGUUAGCGGCGCGCUUAACACAUGCAAGUCGCACGAGAAAGGGCUUCGGCCCCGGUAAAGUGGCGCACGGGUGCGUAACACGUAGGCAAUCUUCCCUUGAGCGGGGGAUAACGUUUCGAAAGAGACGCUAAUACCGCAUAAGACCACGACCGGUUCGCCGGUUGCGGUCAAAGCUGGCCUCUCCACGGAAGCUAGCACUUAAGGACGAGCCUGCGGCCCAUCAUGCUAGUUGGUAGGGUAACGGCCUACCAAGGCGAAGACGGGUAGCUGGUCUGAGAGGAUGAUCAGCCACACUGGAACUGAAACACGGUCCAGACUCCUACGGGAGGCAGCAGUGAGGAAUAUUGGACAAUGGGCGCAAACCUGAUCCAGCGACGCCGCGCGAGUGAUGAAGGCCUUCGGGUUGUAAAGCUCUGUUGAGGGAGAAGAAAACAGUUAGGGCGAAUAGGCCUAGCUCUUGACGGUAUCCCUUUAGAAAGCACCGGCUAACUCUGUGCCAGCCGCCGCAGUAA